AAGUUGUAGAUGGACACGAUAGCUUUACUGUAUUAAUUUUUAUGUGGUGCUGAGGAUUGAACCCAAGUACCUCAUAUGUGCUAGGGGAGUGGAAGGAGGAACAAGGUUUGUUUUCCGUCCCUAAUUUUUACCAUGCAUGCAAAGCGCUGCAGCUCAGGUGGAUUUCCAGAGCACUUCCGGGCAGUGCAUGACCCCUGUGGAUCUGGGGCAGCCCCAGAAAUUUCAUCUUUAUUACAGAGGCAGGGAGCAGGUUUCUGCAGCAGUUUCAUCAUCUGGAAGCUGGAAUCUCACUGCAUCUCAGGUUGAAGAACAGCCACAGCCCCAGCACACCCCAAAGCUCAUCUCUUGAUACAACAUGAAAAAGAAAUGGAAAACUAACGAUGUGUGAAUCAGAAGAAAAAUCAAGUCUCUCUUCACAAUGGAAUACUAUGUGGCUGAUAAAAAUAAAAUGAAAUUCACUGUGAUCUGACAUG
RNAcentral lists this long non-coding RNA (473 nucleotides) under Ictidomys tridecemlineatus (thirteen-lined ground squirrel). RNAcentral describes it as "lncRNA (ENSSTOG00000030737.1)". Lineage: Eukaryota; Metazoa; Chordata; Mammalia; Rodentia; Sciuridae. The record is from RNAcentral.